GAGUUUGAUCAUGGCUCAGAUUGAACGCUGGCGGCAGGCCUAACACAUGCAAGUCGGGCGGUAGAGAGAAGCUUGCUUCUCUUGAGAGCGGCGGACGGGUGAGUAAUGCCUAGGAAUCUGCCUGGUAGUGGGGGAUAACGCUCGGAAACGGACGCUAAUACCGCAUACGUCCUACGGGAGAAAGCAGGGGACCUUCGGGCCUUGCGCUAUCAGAUGAGCCUAGGUCGGAUUAGCUAGUUGGUGAGGUAAUGGCUCACCAAGGCGACGAUCCGUAACUGGUCUGAGAGGAUGAUCAGUCACACUGGAACUGAGACACGGUCCAGACUCCUACGGGAGGCAGCAGUGGGGAAUAUUGGACAAUGGGCGAAAGCCUGAUCCAGCCAUGCCGCGUGUGUGAAGAAGGUCUUCGGAUUGUAAAGCACUUUAAGUUGGGAGGAAGGGCAGUAAAUUAAUAACUUUGCUGUUUUGACGUUACCGACAGAAUAAGCACCGGCUAACUCUGUGCCAGCCGCCG
This 514-nucleotide ribosomal RNA is filed under the name uncultured bacterium. RNAcentral's name for it is "bacterial SSU rRNA". It matches the Rfam family "Bacterial small subunit ribosomal RNA", at positions 9 to 517 of the family's 1533-position model. The record is from RNAcentral.